This 1418-nucleotide long non-coding RNA is filed under the name Bos indicus x Bos taurus (hybrid cattle). RNAcentral's name for it is "lncRNA (ENSBIXG00005003942.1)". The record is from RNAcentral. Lineage: Eukaryota; Metazoa; Chordata; Mammalia; Artiodactyla; Bovidae.
CUCUGUUCUCCGCGCCGCACUGAGGGGCUUUCUUCGCAGCCGUGGGAAACUGGUGGGCGAGCGCGCGCCCCGCCGCCAUGUGGACGCUCGGCCAGGGAAAGCCCAGUGAACCAGAAAAGGAGAAUUUUUCUGCAGUGCUGGAGUGUGAAAACGGCUACAGGAGGAGGAAAUGCCAGCUUCCACCCAGUUCUUCCUCCAUCACCCUCACGAACUUCUUGGCCAGGGAAUACCCAUCACUGGAGCUUGUCGCCCCACUAAAGUGCUCUGGGGGUCCUGGGGUGCUUGCCCCUCUCUCCUCCAGCACUUGCCCACUCUGCUCUUCUGGCAGCUGAUGGUGGUUUCAGAAACAGUGAGGCCAGAAUCCCUAAAGCGCGCUCUGCUCACCACCCCCCACCCGCACCCCCUACCUCCAACCUAGAGCACUUGAGAUGACUAACUGCAGCGUGGAUGUCAAGGCAGGCCUGGAGCUCAGGAGGAGGGUACAGAGAGAAACCUGCUUUACCAUUGGUGAACUUGACAUCAUGGUCUUGGACACGCACUGUGGAAAGAUGGGCUUGUACAUUCAAAAUGCAGGAAGCAGUGAGCUCCAGGAGAUGGUGAAGCUCCGGGAGUAGUGAAGAACAGGGAAGCCUGGCAUGCUGCAGUCCAUGGGGUCACACAGAGGUGGAAGGACUGAGUGACUGAACAAUAGCAACAAAGCAGUGAGCUCAAGGUCUGACCCAUAGCCCUCGCAUUCUGCUGAUGGGAAUGAGGGAAGACACCCAGAUGCACAGCCUCUGUAGCUGGAGACCAGACAGUGUUUCAUAGCAUCCUUCAUGACGGAGACCUUGAGGGUGGUUAUGUCCAAGGGCUGGUGAGUUGUCCGAGGAUGAGCCUCAAGGCCCAUGGCAGCAAGGAAAGCACUUCCUAUACAGCCUCCAAGUCUUCAGCAUGUUUGCAGGCACUUGGAUGGAGCUGUAGGUGGAAGACUCCUCAAGUUUGCAGACCAUCAAAUCUGAGAAGAGUAGGAAAUGCACUGUGUGAUAAAAGCUAACAGGUUUGCUCAGGCUGGGUGAAUAGGGCCCAUUUCUGAGAUGAGUCUGAAGACGGUUCAGUGUCACACUCUGCUUAUGGGGUCCAAGACAUCACCUGCCUCAGCAUGUGUGGGGAAAAAAAAAAAAACACGGAAGGAUCUGGGGUAUUCAGCAUAUUGCCAAUCAACUGUGUGGUUAAUCUGAACAAAACAGAGAUGUGAUCUUCAGCUACAUUGAAGAAGUUCUUGUUUUCCAAGAUUUCUUUGUCCUGUGAAUCCCAUUAAGGGAUUUCUUAUGGGUCCACUGACCACUCAAAUCAAAAACUUCUGGGGCUUGUUAAAAAUUCAGAUUUGGGGGCCCACCUAGAUUAUUCAUUCAGGCUGUAUAGGGAGGAAGCCCCAGAAG